This 785-nucleotide ribosomal RNA is filed under the name uncultured Glomus. Its description in RNAcentral is "SSU rRNA". It matches the Rfam family "Eukaryotic small subunit ribosomal RNA", at positions 325 to 1111 of the family's 1831-position model. Lineage: Eukaryota; Fungi; Glomeromycota; Glomeromycetes; Glomerales; Glomeraceae. The record is from RNAcentral.
AUGGUAGGAUAGAGGCCUACCAUGGUGGUAACGGGUAACGGGGUGUUAGGGCACGACACCGGAGAGGGAGCCUGAGAAACGGCUACCACAUCCAAGGAAGGCAGCAGGCGCGCAAAUUACCCAAUCCCGACACGGGAAGGUAGUGACAAUAAAUAACAAUACAGGGUUCUUUGAAUCUUGUAAUUGGAAUGAGUACAAUUUAAAUCUCUUAACGAGGAACAAUUGGAGGGCAAGCCUGGUGCCAGCAGCCGCGGUAAUUCCAGCUCCAAUAGCGUAUAUCAAAGUUGUUGCAGUUAAAAAGCUCGUAGUUGAAUUUCGGGAUCAAUACGUCGGUCGUGCUUUCGGGUACGUACUGGCGUCAUUGGUUUCUCCUUUCUGACGAACCAUGAUGUCAUUAAUUUGGUGUUAUGGGGAGUUAGGACUGUUACUUUGAAAAAAUUAGAGUGUUUAAAGCAGGCAUUAGCUUGAAUACAUUAGCAUGGAAUAAUGAAAUAGGACGUUCGAUCCUAUUUUGUUGGUUUCUAGGAUCAACGUAAUGAUUAAUAGGGAUAGUUGGGGGCAUUAGUAUUCAAUUGUCAGAGGUGAAAUUCUUGGAUUUAUUGAAGACUAACUACUGCGAAAGCAUUUGCCAAGGAUGUUUUCAUUAAUCAAGAACGAAAGUUAGGGGAUCGAAGACGAUCAGAUACCGUCGUAGUCUUAACCAUAAACUAUGCCGACUAGGGAUCGGAUGAUGUUAAUUUUUUAAUGACUCAUUCGGCGCCUUACGGGAAACCAAAGUGUUUGGG